AGACCGCAGAUCUCGGAA
This 18-nucleotide microRNA is filed under the name Heligmosomoides polygyrus. RNAcentral's name for it is "hpo-miR-10129-3p". The record is from miRBase by way of RNAcentral. Lineage: Eukaryota; Metazoa; Nematoda; Chromadorea; Rhabditida; Heligmosomidae.